This 253-nucleotide ribosomal RNA is filed under the name uncultured bacterium. Its description in RNAcentral is "partial 16S ribosomal RNA". It matches the Rfam family "Bacterial small subunit ribosomal RNA", at positions 524 to 776 of the family's 1533-position model. The record is from RNAcentral.
UACGUAGGGACCGAGCGUUGUCCGGAAUCAUUGGGCGUAAAGAGCGUGUAGGCGGCCUUUUAAGUCCUGCGUGAAAUCCUGCGGCUCAACCGCAGACGGUCGUGGGAAACUGGGUGGCUAGAGUGCGGGAGAGGAGAGUGGAAUUCCUGGUGUAGCGGUGGAAUGCGCAGAUAUCAGGAAGAACACCCGUGGCGAAGGCGGCUCUCUGGAACGCAACUGACGCUGAGACGCGAAAGCGUGGGGAGCAAACAGG